AGAGUUUGAUCAUGGCUCAGACGAACGCUGGCGGCAUGCCUAACACAUGCAAGUCGAACGAGACCUUCGGGUCUAGUGGCGCACGGGUGCGUAACGCGUGGGAAUCUGCCCUUGGGUUCGGAAUAACAGCGAGAAAUUGCUGCUAAUACCGGAUGAUGACGUAAGUCCAAAGAUUUAUCGCCCAAGGAUGAGCCCGCGUAGGAUUAGCUAGUUGGUGAGGUAAAGGCUCACCAAGGCGACGAUCCUUAGCUGGUCUGAGAGGAUGAUCAGCCACACUGGGACUGAGACACGGCCCAGACUCCUACGAGAGGCAGCAGUGGGGAAUAUUGGACAAUGGGCGAAAGCCUGAUCCAGCAAUGCCGCGUGAGUGAUGAAGGCCUUAGGUUGUAAAGCUCUUUUACCCGGGAUGAUAAUGACAGUACCGGGAGAAUAAGCUCCGGCUAACUCCGUG
Molecule: ribosomal RNA, 451 nt
Filed under: uncultured bacterium
Lineage: Bacteria
Description: bacterial SSU rRNA
Rfam family: Bacterial small subunit ribosomal RNA
Source: RNAcentral